RNAcentral lists this ribosomal RNA (315 nucleotides) under Triticum aestivum (bread wheat). RNAcentral's name for it is "partial small subunit ribosomal RNA". The record is from RNAcentral. Lineage: Eukaryota; Viridiplantae; Streptophyta; Magnoliopsida; Poales; Poaceae.
AUGGUCCGCACGAUGACCGAAGGCAUCGUGAAUAGGUUUUUGAGGUCCGCGAAGGCCGAGAUGCUUCAAAAGAACGAGACGGAGAUAAGAUGUCCGUGUCGAAGAUGCAAGCUGAAGAGCCUUAUUGCGGACCCGGAUUUCGGGCAGGUGCGGGACCACGUGCUCUUGCGUGAUUUCAUGGAUGGCUAUCGGUGUCAAGGUGAUGAAGAUGACUACGAAGUCGUCCAUGGGGGCCGGGCAAGAAAAAUGAGGAAGGGCAGCAAGACAACCACCGCGGCUCGGGCGGGCGAGAGACGAAGAAUCCCCAGGAGAUGA